This 620-nucleotide ribosomal RNA is filed under the name Pomacentrus amboinensis (Ambon damsel). Its description in RNAcentral is "partial small subunit ribosomal RNA". It matches the Rfam family "Bacterial small subunit ribosomal RNA", at positions 492 to 1397 of the family's 1533-position model. The record is from RNAcentral. Lineage: Eukaryota; Metazoa; Chordata; Actinopteri; Pomacentridae.
CCCGGUAAAACUCGUGCCAGCCACCGCGGUUAUACGAAAGGCCCAAGUUGACAGACAACGGCGUAAAGAGUGGUUAGGGAAACUUUUUAAACUAAAGCCGAACGUCCUCAAAGCUGUUUAACGCUUCCGAGUUAAGAAGGUCUUUAACGAAAGUAGCUUUACCAAACCUGACCCCACGAAAGCUGUGAAACAAACUGGGAUUAGAUACCCCACUAUGCUCAGCCCUAAAAUUCGAUAGGUCACUACGCCCCCUAUCCGCCCGGGUACUACGAGCAUCAGCUUGAAACCCAAAGGACUUGGCGGUGCUUCACAUCCGUCUAGAGGAGCCUGUCCUGUAACCGAUAAUCCCCGUUAAACCUCACCCUCCCUUGUUAAUUCCGCCUAUAUACCGCCGUCGUCAGCCUACCCUGUGAAGGACUAAAAGUGAGCAAGAUUGGUAAGACCCAAAACGUCAGGUCGAGGUGUAGUAUAUGAGAGGGGAAGAGAUGGGCUACAUUUCCUAAAUCAGGAAAUACGAACAAUGAACUGAAAUAAGCAUUAGAAGGUGGAUUUAGCAGUAAGCAGAGAAGCAGAGUGUCCUGCUGAAGUUAAUGGCAAUAGAGCACGUACACACCGCCCGU